AACUGGUCGAAUCGUAAGUCACGACUUGGCAGACGACGACCGAACGGUCGUUCGCGGUCGACUCGGAGGACUGCUUUAAGAGAGACUAAGUCGAGCCAGUUAGUUCCACCUGGCAGUGGAAGAUGCGGUCAAAGCAGUCUUGAAUUACCACUAGAAUCUCCGACCACUGUAGCGCACGCUGUUUGUAAAGUUCUCCUUAAUUUUCCUUUGAUACACUUCACUGUUGCCCAGCUUCAAUUUCCCUCUUAGUCAGUGGAUGAGGUGUGAUUAAAAUGAUAAUUUCUGUUUGAAAUUAAUUAAUGUACCAUCGUUAGUAUAAUUAAGUAAGAAGCUAUUACGAAGCUUCUUAGUAUAUAUUACAUUAAUUUGUGAAUGCGCAUAUUUUUAUGGGAAUGAAAAACGACUGGAAGAGGUAACGAAAAAGCUGGCACAAAUAUCAAAAGUUGAUAUAUAAAAAGCAAGUAUGAAAAGCGUAAAAUUUUGGAAACCGCGUGAGAAGAAAGAUUCGAAGACACAACAUGAUGAAACGAGUUCCACGAAAAUAUCCGCUAUACGAAGUCGACGUUAAAUCCGGUGGCAUCAAGUGUGCUUGAUGUCGUCUCGGCUUCAAACUUUCCGACACACGAGUUGAACCCUGGCCUACGCACUGAACUUCCCGCUGCAAGUUUCAGAAACAAGCAUCCAUCUAUCAAGUACUGGCAAAGCUAAAACGGCACAUGUUUCUAAUAAAUUAGAUCAACCCACGCGUCCGAUUGAUUAAUUCCAAUUAAGUAGUUCCGGAUAAAAGCAAUACUGAAGCAAUACAUGUUUUUCAUAAAUAUUGGGUUUAGAAGACUCAGCUCGAAUCAUUUUUGUUUUUUAUUGCAAGAUCAGUAAAAUUCAAAAGUAUAGAAAUUUAGAAAGAUCAAUUCGUUUGUCAUUAUUUAUGAACUUAAUUGACAGAAAACUGAAUUAACGAUUAAAUUUUAAUUCCUAAUUAUUAAAAAUUAAAAGUUAAAUGUUGUUCAAUUGAAUUAAAGAUUUAAUCAAUUUCCUGCAAGCCGUACAAAUGCAGCUUUAUGUUAUUUUUCUAUGUAGGAAUUGCAAGAUUUACAUAAGAACACUAGGUGUAAUACCAUCGAAAUGGAUUAAAUUAAGGAGAUUAUGACGAUAGAGUUAUUAUGUAAUGUGCUCGAGUAUAUGCAUACGUAAUUGAAUUGCAGCGUGUGUUAUUUGACCUAAAAAUGUAACACCUUUGUAAGACAUCAAUGUAAUCAUGUCAAUUUAAAUUAGUAAAUAUGCAAUUCGAACGAAAUUGUAUCGUACAACUAUCAUUUUUAUUACUCUUCAAUUUUAUUUGACAAAUCAUUUCCAGAAAUUUUCUAUACAUCUUUUCUAGAAUAAAAUUGUUUCGUAAUGUUACCCAAGCAACGGUCACAAGAUAAUAACAGCGCGGAGGAAAAUUUUAUCCAGUUUUAUUUAUAGCGAGGUGACAACGAACGCUAAGAGAAGCUGACUCAUUGUUACUCCUGGUAUCGACGAUAGAAACGCGGAUAGGUAUUUAUAAAACGGUCGGCACAGACAGCCAGCCGAUCUCCUAGGAAUAGACCAGUAAACCCAGUUAUGCGAUUUAUUCCGGGCCUGGGUCGUCAGCUAUUCGGAAACUUUCGAUUUUCACCCGGGGCGAAAGGAGCAGAGAGAGAGAACGCUUUUAGCUAGUUAUAUCCUCCCCCUCAUUUAUAA
Molecule: long non-coding RNA, 1722 nt
Organism: Ceratina calcarata
Lineage: Eukaryota; Metazoa; Arthropoda; Insecta; Hymenoptera; Apidae
Exons: 3
Source: RefSeq, a predicted model, not a curated record